Molecule: small nucleolar RNA, 94 nt
Organism: Acomys russatus (golden spiny mouse)
Lineage: Eukaryota; Metazoa; Chordata; Mammalia; Rodentia; Muridae
Product: small nucleolar RNA SNORD116
Exons: 1
Source: RefSeq, a predicted model, not a curated record
UUAUCCAUGAUGAUUCCCAGUCAAAUAUUCCUUGGAAAUUUUGAAGAAAUUGAGUGAAAAAUCAGUACCUCCAGUCGCAUUGGUACUGACUUUU